GAUGAACGCUGGCGGCGUGCUUAACACAUGCAAGUCGAACGGAAAGGCCCAAGCUUGCUUGGGUACUCGAGUGGCGAACGGGUGAGUAACACGUGGGUGAUCUGCCCUGCACUUCGGGAUAAGCCUGGGAAACUGGGUCUAAUACUGGAUAGGACCACUUCUUGGAUGGUGUGGUGGAAAGGUUUUUCGGUGUGGGAUGAGCUCGCGGCCUAUCAGCUUGUUGGUGGGGUAAUGGCCUACCAAGGCGUCGACGGGUCGCCGGCCUGAGAGGGUGUACGGCCACAUUGGGACUGAGAUACGGCCCAGAGUCCUACGGGAGGCAGCAGUGGGGAAUAUUGCACAAUGGGCGCAAGCCUGAUGCAGCGACGCCGCGUGGGGGAUGACGGCCUUCGGGUUGUAAACUCCUUUCGCUAGGGACGAAGCGUUUUUGUGACGGUACCUGGAGAAGAAGCACCGGCUAACUACGUG
Molecule: ribosomal RNA, 468 nt
Filed under: uncultured bacterium
Lineage: Bacteria
Description: partial 16S ribosomal RNA
Rfam family: Bacterial small subunit ribosomal RNA
Source: RNAcentral